CUGGAGUUUCCUGGGCUAAAUUCAGAGGUUAGACCACAGUGCCUGACUGUACCCUGCCCAGGUGACAGGUGCUGAUUUCUCUUGGUUGAGCGAAGAGGCCUAAAUGUCCUGAGGCAGACAAGAGGCUGUGCUGGCCACGUUCAUGAAUGAGCCGGGGAGAAGUGACUCAGUCAUUGUGCGGAUGAAACACAAUGUCACCUCUUUUUCUGCUCACAGUACAAUGGCUGUACGUUAAAACUAUCACGGUGAUUUCAGUAAUUUCUACUGUUAAAUCUGCGUGUUUCCAGCUCUGCCCUGCUUCUUCUGCCUUCCUUUCCUAAAGGUCACCUCAGAAGAACCCGCCUACAAGGGGAACAGUAUUUUCCGUACCUGGGGAGCUGGGCAAAACGGAUGGCAGUUUGUGACCAGUCACUGGUGGAUGAUGUGCUUGAUCUUCAGUCCGGUAUAUGAAAGAGAGAGGCUAUGGCUGUGGUGGGAUUUGGACAAAGCCCUGGCUGAAGGAAUCAUCCACCUUGGGAGCAUGGUG
Molecule: long non-coding RNA, 526 nt
Filed under: Calidris pugnax (ruff)
Lineage: Eukaryota; Metazoa; Chordata; Aves; Charadriiformes; Scolopacidae
Description: lncRNA (ENSCPUG00000008266.1)
Source: RNAcentral